AUACCAUGAUGAGGACAUUUUUUGAGUAACUCCUUAAAUCUCUACCAUGCGUCACAUAAGCUCUCAUCUUCAAGUUGAUGGAAAGAUGUGAUCUUGUUUCUCAACUU
This 107-nucleotide small nucleolar RNA is filed under the name Citrus sinensis (sweet orange). RNAcentral describes it as "Plant small nucleolar RNA R71". It matches the Rfam family "Plant small nucleolar RNA R71". From Rfam's summary of the family: R71 is a member of the C/D box family of snoRNAs containing the C (UGAUGA) and D (CUGA) box motifs. Multiple nearly identical copies of this snoRNA have been identified in Arabidopsis, and it is thought to function as a 2'-O-ribose methylation guide for 18S ribosomal RNA. Lineage: Eukaryota; Viridiplantae; Streptophyta; Magnoliopsida; Sapindales; Rutaceae. The record is from Rfam by way of RNAcentral. RNAcentral also lists the same sequence under 1 other name.